GCAGUCAGUGCAGUCAGGGCAGUUCAGUUUGUGGAGUUCGGAGGCAGUUUUUCUAAGCAUGCAAUUCAGUGGGAAGCUGAGAGAAGCCAGCUUGAAUCAGUCAGCUUGAACCAGAACAGCUGAAUUGAACUAGCCAGCAGAGUUCAGAAAAAGCUAGAACGAGUGAGUUUAUUCAGCAAUGAGCCUCCAAGGCUGGAACAUUCUAGGCCUAGGGUCUUCUAGCUAAAAUUGCAGUAUCCUGUGGAGACAGCACAGGGGUGAGCUGCAUCAGGAAGGUGCAGCAGGGCUCUGCAGAUUCUCCUGGAGAUGACACUGAAGAUGACUAACCAGCAGGAAAGGCUGCUCUUCUUAUCGCAGAUCACAUGGAUGGAGUUAUGGGGAUAACACCAGGGUCAUACAACAUUUGAACUGCUACUUCCUGUUACAGACUGAAUUGAAUCCUCAUAUCCUCAAACUAAAAUAUUAAAGCUCUAACUUUCAAUGUAACACGGUUUGAAGAUGCUGCAUGAUCCACUGAGAGGCCUGUUUCCUCCUGGGGGAGGAGGUGGCAAUUAAUACGCUUACUACAUGGGAAGCAGCAUGGCUCUGGACUAAGCUAUGAGUCA
Molecule: long non-coding RNA, 605 nt
Organism: Mus musculus (house mouse)
Lineage: Eukaryota; Metazoa; Chordata; Mammalia; Rodentia; Muridae
Product: predicted gene, 31324
Exons: 4
Source: RefSeq, a predicted model, not a curated record